CCUAUGUCUCGAAAAUCGGAGAAAAACGUAGCAACAAGAACAAAUAUAUUUUCAGUCUUGCUCGGAAAUAUAAUUCAGAUGAAGUUCUUUGCACUAUCACGUUAAGUGUUCAUAACAUUUCAAUAGCUUGACCAAUUCUAAGAGAUGAGGAGGGUUUUGGAUCUUUUGAAGAAAUUGCGAUCCAAAGCUUGGGGGACAGUAGAACUCUGUUUUUUCCAAUUGUAAUCAAUCCCAGCCAGCCUCUAAGAUUCUUGAGCAACAAACGCUCUUCUGAACUGGUCUGUAUGAGCUCAGACCUUAAAAGAACCUGUUGCAUUCCCAAAUAACAAAUUACUCCAGGUUUAUACACCAUAUUUAAAUCCAUCAAUGAAUAAGGUAGAAAAGAAUACCUUGGAAUUAUCAUAGCUUUCUCGAACUAUUUCUUCGAUGAGCUAUUUUGAAUUAGCUUUCUCAAGGAAAUUCAUAAACAACUUGUGAAAGUUUGGUUCUUUGCUCGCUCUAUCAACAUGAUCAACGAGUCAUUCAACAAGUAUUCCAAUGCUUGUAGAGACAAAGCCUGCAUUUCUCAAACAUUGUUUAACACCAAAAACAAAAGGUAACUUCCCAAUACAAGAAAAGACAAGGAACCAUAAAACCACAAGUACAGGAAAGGUAACUACUCGAGAUGGAGGUCGAAAUUCAGGAGAUGAAGCCCUAACUACACUUUGCGGUAUCAGAUACUAUAUUUGAAAAUAAAAUUCAUUUUUCAUUGAACUUUUUUGAAGCCAAUAAGAUCAAACCAGGGCAAUAGGUUCAAUAAGAUCACAUUAGUCAAUACUCUAGAAGAUAUAAUUAAUUGUAUUAAUCGAUACAGAGAAACAGGUUCAAUAAGAUCAUAUUGUCAUGAAUGGUAAUGUAAAUGACGCAUUUUCCUUGGUAUCAUGGGUGGUGUAUUGUUCCUGAUCCAAUUACAUGUACAUGAAAUGAAACUGGUUAUACAGGGAAACAGGGUUACUAGUUAAUACAACCUGUAAGGACAAAAAGAACCUUCAAUUGCUGCUAGAAUCUCCACCAUCUCGAGUCUUGCCAAAAAAUGUGAACCAACUCAACAAUGGAAUUAGUAAUGCUCGCGAAUUCUAUGGCAAAGGAAGAAACUCCUAAAAAGUCAAAGUUGCAGAGCAAUAGGAAGUCAAGCAGCUCAAGAUUGGUGACAAUAUCAGAUGAUUCAGAACCCAUCAACAAUUUUAUACCUAAAAGCAAACAAGGAAGGAACUUGAUGUAUUUAAUUUUAGUUAUUAAGAAGUUGUUGGAAAAAAAUUAAUGGUAUUAUUUAGUGGUAUAUUUCUCAA
Molecule: long non-coding RNA, 1328 nt
Organism: Lactuca sativa (garden lettuce)
Lineage: Eukaryota; Viridiplantae; Streptophyta; Magnoliopsida; Asterales; Asteraceae
Source: RefSeq, a predicted model, not a curated record